Molecule: ribosomal RNA, 397 nt
Filed under: uncultured bacterium
Lineage: Bacteria
Description: bacterial SSU rRNA
Rfam family: Bacterial small subunit ribosomal RNA
Source: RNAcentral
AGAGUUUGAUCCUGGCUCAGAUUGAACGCUGGCGGCAGGCCUAACACAUGCAAGUCGAGCGGAUGAGUGGAGCUUGCUCCAUGAUUCAGCGGCGGACGGGUGAGUAAUGCCUAGGAAUCUGCCUGGUAGUGGGGGACAACGUUUCGAAAGGAACGCUAAUACCGCAUACGUCCUACGGGAGAAAGUGGGGGAUCUUCGGACCUCACGCUAUCAGAUGAGCCUAGGUCGGAUUAGCUAGUUGGUGAGGUAAAGGCUCACCAAGGCGACGAUCCGUAACUGGUCUGAGAGGAUGAUCAGUCACACUGGAACUGAGACACGGUCCAGACUCCUACGGGAGGCAGCAGUGGGGAAUAUUGGACAAUGGGCGAAAGCCUGAUCCAGCCAUGCCGCGUGUGUG